RNAcentral lists this long non-coding RNA (3756 nucleotides) under Spirodela polyrhiza (greater duckweed). Its description in RNAcentral is "long non-coding RNA (SPOL_LNC001347)". Lineage: Eukaryota; Viridiplantae; Streptophyta; Magnoliopsida; Alismatales; Araceae. The record is from RNAcentral.
AUCUCUAUACUUAAUAUAUCAUAUUUUGUUCAUCUAGGACAAGCUUCCAAGUGCAAGUGUUGCUCAAUCUUGACCAAUUGUAGGGACACUUGGUCAAGGAUUUAUCUCAUAUUCUAUCAUGGCUGGUUGAGGUUGAGGUAGCUAAGGUUGUGAUCUACUUGAAAAGAAGCUCCCUAGUCGUCCACUGCCUUAGUAGUGCACAACCUUAUCUUCAUUGUAAUGCACUACUUGAUGGCUGUUGUGAAUGCAUUGACAAAUAUGUAGAGGAAAUGCUUUGAACUAACGAGGCAAAUCAAUGCAGACUAGAUAGUCCAUAGUGGCUUAGACCAAACCCAAGUUGGCUCGACCAAGGAGCUUGAAUUAGAUUUUUGGGACACCAUGUCCCAACCAGGGUAAUCAAUGGGAAAAGGAAGGGUGAAGAAAGGAAGAUGAGUGUAAGGAAAGAAGACAAAUAGAUGGCAACUUAAAGACUACUCAAUCCAUAGAAAGUGUCUAGUAGUCCUUUGCUCUCCCAAUUCCCAAAUGAUGUCCUAAUGCUCCACUCAUCUGCCUUAAGUAGGCAAGGUAGUAAGUAAACCAAAGCCUAUUUACACCACCUACCAUAAGGCCCAGUAUCUUUACAAAUCCCUCCAAGAUCCUGUAAACAUUCAUAUUAUCAAUCAAGCCUUCAUAAGUUACAAUAUUUUGAACUUUAUUACAUUGUGAGGCAUUUUACAUUGCUUGGACACCCAAAUUGUGACAAGUAAAAUAUUUGAGAAGAGGCUAGGUGAAUGGAGUGAGUGGACUUAUAAAAAUGGGAAAUCAUAAAACUUAUGGUUAAGGAGUGGCAGUAACGCAAAAAAGCAGAGGAAAGUACUAAGGGAAAGCAAAAGUUGAUGACAUCUCAAGAAGGUGAAAUAGUGCAAUAGUCACGGAUUAAAUAUUUCCAAUGGGCUAUAAUACCUAAAAUCUAACAAGGAUUCAUAGAUGACCAGACCAUUCCAUUUACAGUAGCAAAUAGCUUAAACAUGCAGUGCAUCCAAGAAGAGUGAACGACCAACCAUUAUGGCAAUAAUGAUCGCAAGAUGAAGCAAUGAUCACGACUUCAUUCACUUAUUAAAAAUUUCAUCCACUCUCAAGGAAAGCUCAGAAUAGCUGAAAUUAAAAUCAGCCUUAUCAGGGCCUUUUCAUUUAUUCACACAUUAGCUUUCCCAAGGUCUCCAUCAAUGCAUUGUAUCCAUCACCCCCAUCCAUUUCAGAUUCACUAUUGUGUAAAGAUCUACCUGAAAUUCUCAAUUAUAGAGUAGAUAGCAUAAUACCAAAUUUCUUUGAAGAGUUUGAAUUCAUGUUUUACAACAUUUGAGUUUAUUUUUGAUGUUGGAAUAAAUAUAUGGUAUAUUUUAUCAAACUAAUACCAACGAAAUAAAUUGCUUCCUGAUCAGGUACCUAUUUGAAACUUGGCCAGAUAUGAUUCAAAUUGGCAGAUUCAGAAGGUGAUGCUUUGCAUUAGCUUUACAUUACAAGAAUGCUAGCAAGAAAUGGGCAUGAGAGUAACAAUAAUUAGUCUAAUUAUAAGCAAUUUAUUAACGUACAAGGAAUGACAUCAGUUGGGAAAAAUCGAUCACCACACUAUGAUAAAAAUUAUUAAAAAGCCAGCUGAUCCAAAAGAAAUUUGCUUCUCAAACCCAUACAUGGAAGAGAACCCAUAAGAGCAAGUCGACCUUACAAUUUGGCCUUCUUUGAAUUAAUCCAUCCUGUACCUAUAUUUCACUGCAGUAAAGAGGUUUCACAUUGUCCAAGAUUAAAAAUCAUGAUACAAAUGACACAAGUCGGAAGUAAAACAAAAUGUACAGGGAACAACAUGGUUGAUUGACUGGAUGAUCCAAGAGUCACCGUUUAAAAAAGAAAGGUAGAGGGGAUGGGCUAGAAAUAUAGGCUCAGAAAACCACGGUUUAAAUCCACUGAACAAAAAUAAAAUAUCUUUUGUCCAGUGAAAUAUCUUACGUGAAGUCAAUGAUAUCUUCCAGAUUCUAAAAGAGAACGCUCGGCAACGCAUGAGUGACAGUACACAUACCCACGUGGAAAUAUGACGAGAAAGGAAUCAGCAGAGGAAUUUCGCAAGAGUUUUAUGCUUUCCACACGGAGAUUCUUCAUCAACAAACCCUAUAUAUUUUCAUCCAUACACCAGCCGAUAUGCAUAAUCGCCAAGGAUAUCCAUGAGAUAAUGUCAGUUCGUUUAACUUGAAGUUGCUUAUAGGUUACAUGCAUGUCAGUAUUUUUUUUCUGGGACAGUCUACUACGUUAAAGUCUUAAGUUAGAUUCGAUGUCAGGUAAUAAAAUGUAGAGAAGGCCAUUGGGUAAUAUAAUGCUGCAAUGGGCAGUGCAAGGCAUCAAGAAUUUUCUCAGCAGGCAUUUCUCAACAUAUACACCCAGCAUUGAUGCCAUUACUUCAAGUAUUAUAUAUAUCAUUACUAUUUCCCAUAUGCUUCUGUGUUCAUAUACAAAACUAUACAAUUGUUCCAUGCAAUAUAUUUCUACCGUCCUAUGAUAUUAAAGAACAGCAUAGGAAAAUGUGUGACUUCAACUGGGAAAAAAAUACCACUGAGCCAGGGAAAAAAACCCAAGCAAUGUGGCCCAUUGGUCAUUUUCUAUCCGAAGGCAAACUUGGAAGAAGUCACAUCACAAGCAAGUCCUCCAUAGGUCCUUCGUAAAUUUCAGCUAUUGAAUACGACGCCUGUUUCAGCAUAUCUGAGGUUUGGCUUGGCUUAAGAAUAAGCAUGAGCGAUGAACCGAGAUGAAAAAAAGGAAGCACAUUUUUUGGGCUGCUGAACCAGAACUACAAUCUUUCACUUUUGCGAUUUGUUAGAAAAUUAUUCUCAAGAACCGGAAUAUGUUGAUGGAAAAAGCUACUCGAAAGAAUUAAAACGGGCUUAAACAUGAAUGACCCCACCAGGGAGACCCUAACAAGAUAAGUAUUCUUUCACUGCGAGGAAUUAUGCUCCUUAAUCCUCUGUUUCUGUGGGUAGUAUUCAUUCACGCUUCAACUUGAUCUAGGCUCAUUUAAUCCAGAUUCAGACUAUCCAAGACGAAGUGUUACGAAGAGAGCAUUAGAAUACAGAUCCCCACCAUCAGAAUACAAAUUUUGUCUGGCCAUUGAACCACCAGUCACUUGCUAUUCGAAGGCAAAUUUGGAUGAGAUUGCAUUUCUCUUAGGAGCAAUAUCUCCAAAGGUCCUCCAGAAAGUUGAAUGGGGUUUCAUCGAGAAAAUCGAGUUUUCUGUACGCGAAAUUAUUGAGACUUUGGCGGACGAAAACUAUAAACAGAGAAGCAGAGAUGCCGAGAGAAACACCUAGACAUCAACCUGCCAGCGAUUUAGAGAUCUGGAAAAUAGCCGAACCUAAGAGCUCAAUCCAGAAGCAGGAACGAAGGCCGUCGGCAGCCUCGGGAAGACUUAUUAUCGCAGGAUUCAUACGACGGCUGAAUCCCACCAAAUCCCGAACCAGCAGUCCAAACAAGUAUUGAGAAAAGGGCGGAGGGAGGAUACCGCUAUCAACUGUUGCAACGGGAUUCCCACAGUCAAAUAGAGAAGAGGCUUAUCCCUAGGGCAAACAUCGCGUCGCAACGUCCCAUAAACAGGCAGGAAAGAAGCCCCGAUGCUAAGUCUCCCCCGUCGACAAAUACUAAGGUAGAGAGAAUCUCUCAACUGUCUCCAUCUCGUCACGGCGCCAGUAUUAAUAGUCUCAAGUCCGCUAAACCCUAACCCUGAAUCACCUCUCC